Molecule: non-coding RNA, 842 nt
Organism: Phascolarctos cinereus (koala)
Lineage: Eukaryota; Metazoa; Chordata; Mammalia; Diprotodontia; Phascolarctidae
Source: RefSeq, a predicted model, not a curated record
CUUUAGCCCCCAACCCCUAUCUGCUUGGACUGGGCCAUCCUUGGAGCGGUAAAGUCCAUUUCAUUGUUCCUCAGACCUCUACCCAGGGGACCAUUGUGUUCUAGUACUGUGGACCCUUACCAAGAGGCUGAUCCAAAUAGCCUAGAGAAAAGCAAAUUCCAGAGGGUGGGCCUAAUGCUUCCACAUUGUUCAAUGACCUCGUGGGUUUAGGGCAGCCCUUCAGCCAUGCUCAGGAGUUGGACAUUUCUGGACAAUCCUUAAGGACCUUGACAAAUGGUAACAUUUCUUCCCAUAAUGUAGUACUUUCUCCUCCUUAGGGCAAAUUUGCUUCUGACCUGAUAACAACAACGCCUUGUGCAGCCAAUAGAUAAUGUAGCCACCCUCUCCUACAGAUAAAGAAAGGAAGGCUCAGAAAGGCUGAGACUUGCUAGAGCUGGUGCAGCAGUCAGGGUGCAAAGCUGGUUACCUGCCUUCAAUUGUAACAGUCUUCUAGGGGCACAGUGUUAUCCAGAGCUGGCAAAAGAGAAAGAAACUGAGGCCCAGAGAAGAAAAAUGGCUUGUCUAAGAUCCCAUAGCAUUGUUCUUCUGGCAUAUAUGGUCCUUGAGAACCCAAGAUCUCCAUACUAUGACAAAACAUCAAGAAAAGACUUCAAUCAAGGCAAAUGCUUUUAUUCAAUUUUGCAAGUAAGGAAAGUAAACUACAGAGCAGUUGAGUGACAAAGUACAGAAUAUUUUUAAAAACAGGGAUUUUAGUGAUCCUUUAGCCCAAUCCUUUCACUCUAAAAAUGAGAAACUUGAGACUAGAGAGGUGAAAUUUUUUUAUUAAACAAUUUAUUUAUUAA